CCUACGGGUGGCAGCAGUGGGGAAUAUUGCGCAAUGGGCGAAAGCCUGACGCAGCGACGCCGCGUGAGGGAUGAAGGUCUUCGGAUCGUAAACCUCUGUCAGCAGGGAAGAACGGUCACUGUGCUAAUCAGCAGUGAAUUGACGGUACCUGCACAGGAAGCACCGGCUAACUCCGUGCCAGCAGCCGCGGUAAUACGGAGGGUGCGAGCGUUAAUCGGAAUUACUGGGCGUAAAGCGCUCGUAGGCGGUAUGUCAAGUCAAGGGUGAAAUCCCCGCGCUCAACGUGGGAACAGCCGUUGAAACUGGCAAACUGGAGUGUGUGAGAGGAUAGUGGAAUUCCAGGUGUAGGAGUGAAAGCCGUAGAUAUCUGGAGGAACAUCAGUGGCGAAGGCGACUAUCUGGCACAUAACUGACGCUGAGGAGCGAAAGCGUGGGUAGCAAACAGGAUUAGAUACCCCGGUAGUC
This 465-nucleotide ribosomal RNA is filed under the name uncultured bacterium. Its description in RNAcentral is "partial 16S ribosomal RNA". It matches the Rfam family "Bacterial small subunit ribosomal RNA", at positions 338 to 795 of the family's 1533-position model. The record is from RNAcentral.